RNAcentral lists this ribosomal RNA (484 nucleotides) under uncultured bacterium. RNAcentral describes it as "bacterial SSU rRNA". It matches the Rfam family "Bacterial small subunit ribosomal RNA", at positions 28 to 518 of the family's 1533-position model. The record is from RNAcentral.
GACGAACGCUGGCGGCGUGCCUAACACAUGCAAGUCGAACGGAGAUGAUGGGAUAGCUUGCUAUUUAAUCAUCUUAGUGGCGGACGGGUGAGUAACACGUGGGCAACCUGCCCCAAAGAGGGGGAUAACACCGAGAAAUCGGUGCUAAUACCGCAUAACAUUAGAGCUUCGCAUGGAGCUUUAAUCAAAGGAGCAAUCCGCUUUGGGAUGAGCCCGCGUCUGAUUAGCUAGUUGGUGAGGUAACGGCUCACCAAGGCGACGAUCAGUAGCCGAUCUGAGAGGAUGACCGGCCACACUGGAACUGAGACACGGUCCAGACUCCUACGGGAGGCAGCAGUGGGGAAUAUUGCACAAUGGGGGAAACCCUGAUGCAGCAACGCCGCGUGGAGGAAGAAGGUCUUCGGAUUGUAAACUCCUGUCUUCUGGGACGAAUAAUGACGGUACCAGAGGAGGAAGCCACGGCUAACUACGUGCCAGCAGCCGC